CAUGCAAGUCGAGCGGUAACAGAAAGUAGCUUGCUACUUUGCUGACGAGCGGCGGACGGGUGAGUAAUGCUUGGGAACAUGCCUUGAGGUGGGGGACAACAGUUGGAAACGACUGCUAAUACCGCAUAAUGUCUACGGACCAAAGGGGGCUUCGGCUCUCGCCUUUAGAUUGGCCCAAGUGGGAUUAGCUAGUUGGUGAGGUAAUGGCUCACCAAGGCAACGAUCCCUAGCUGGUUUGAGAGGAUGAUCAGCCACACUGGAACUGAGACACGGUCCAGACUCCUACGGGAGGCAGCAGUGGGGAAUAUUGCACAAUGGGCGAAAGCCUGAUGCAGCCAUGCCGCGUGUGUGAAGAAGGCCUUCGGGUUGUAAAGCACUUUCAGUCAGGAGGAAAGGGUGUGAGUUAAUACCUCAUAUCUGUGACGUUACUGACAGAAGAAGCACCGGCUAACUCCGUGCCAGCAGCCGCGGUAAUACGGAGGGUGCGAGCGUUAAUCGGAAUUACUGGGCGUAAAGCGUACGCAGGCGGUUUGUUAAGCGAGAUGUGAAAGCCCCGGGCUCAACCUGGGAACUGCAUUUCGAACUGGCAAACUAGAGUGUGAUAGAGGGUGGUAGAAUUUCAGGUGUAGCGGUGAAAUGCGUAGAGAUCUGAAGGAAUACCGAUGGCGAAGGCAGCCACCUGGGUCAACACUGACGCUCAUGUACGAAAGCGUGGGGAGCAAACGGGAUUAGAUACCCCGGUAGUCCACGCCGUAAACGAUGUCUACUAGAAGCUCGGAACCUCGGUUCUGUUUUCAAAGCUAACGCAUUAAGUAGACCGCCUGGGGAGUACGGCCGCAGGUUAAAACUCA
This 851-nucleotide ribosomal RNA is filed under the name Pseudoalteromonadaceae bacterium ACEMC 13-1. RNAcentral describes it as "bacterial SSU rRNA". It matches the Rfam family "Bacterial small subunit ribosomal RNA", at positions 54 to 903 of the family's 1533-position model. The record is from RNAcentral. Lineage: Bacteria; Pseudomonadati; Pseudomonadota; Gammaproteobacteria; Alteromonadales; Pseudoalteromonadaceae.